CCCUAGGCUCAGAGGUUAAAGCGUCUGCCUGGAAUGCAGGAGACCCAGGUUUGAUCCCUGGGUCAGGGA
RNAcentral lists this transfer RNA (69 nucleotides) under Ovis aries (sheep). It matches the Rfam family "tRNA". Rfam says of the family: Transfer RNA (tRNA) molecules are approximately 80 nucleotides in length. Their secondary structure includes four short double-helical elements and three loops (D, anti-codon, and T loops). The record is from Rfam by way of RNAcentral. Lineage: Eukaryota; Metazoa; Chordata; Mammalia; Artiodactyla; Bovidae.